GACGAACGCUGGCGGCGUGCUUAACACAUGCAAGUCGAACGGGAGUAUUGAAGAAGCUUGCUUUAGAGAUACUUUAGUGGCGGACGGGUGAGUAACGCGUGAGGAGCUGUCCUAUGCAGGGGGACAACAGUUGGAAACGACUGCUAAUACCCCAUAAGCCGAGAGGUAAAAGGAUUUAUCCGGCAAUGGAGGUACUCGCGUCCUAUCAGCUAGUAGGUGAGGUAACGGCUCACCUAGGCGAAGACGGGUAGCCGGCCUGAGAGGGCGAACGGCCACACUGGAACUGAGAUACGGUCCAGACUCCUACGGGAGGCAGCAGUGGGGAAUAUUGGGCAAUGGGGGGAACCCUGACCCAGCGACGCCGCGUGGGUGAAGAAAUCCUUCGGGAUGUAAAGCCCUGUUGUAUGGGAAGAGCGGAAGACGGUACCAUACGAGGAAGCCCCGGCAAACUACGUG
This 456-nucleotide ribosomal RNA is filed under the name uncultured bacterium. Its description in RNAcentral is "bacterial SSU rRNA". It matches the Rfam family "Bacterial small subunit ribosomal RNA", at positions 28 to 507 of the family's 1533-position model. The record is from RNAcentral.